AGUGGCGGACGGGUGAGUAACGCGUGAGAAUCUGCCCUUAGGACGGGGACAACAGUUGGAAACGACUGCUAAUACCCGAUGUGCCGAGAGGUGAAAUAUAAUUUGCCUGAGGAUGAGCUCGCGUCAGAUUAGCUAGUUGGUGAGGUAAUGGCUCACCAAGGCGACGAUCUGUAGCUGGUCUGAGAGGAUGAUCAGCCACACUGGGACUGAGACACGGCCCAGACUCCUACGGGAGGCAGCAGUGGGGAAUUUUCCGCAAUGGGCGAAAGCCUGACGGAGCAAGACCGCGUGCGGGAUGAAGGUCUGUGGAUUGUAAACCGCUUUUCUCUGGGAAGAACACAAUGACGGUACCAGAGGAAUCAGCCUCGGCUAACUCCGUGCCAGCAGCCGCGGUAAUACGGAGGAGGCAAGCGUUAUCCGGAAUUAUUGGGCGUAAAGCGUCCGUAGGUGGUUGAGGAAGUCUGCUGUCAAAGCAUGGAGCUUAACUCCAUAAGGGCAGUGGAAACUCCUCGACUAGAGUGCGGUAGGGGUAAGGGGAAUUCCCAGUGUAGCGGUGAAAUGCGUAGAUAUUGGGAAGAACAUCGGUGGCGAAGGCGCCUUGCUGGACCUGCACUGACACUGAGGGACGAAAGCUAGGGGAGCGAAAGGGAUUAGAUACCCCUGUAGUCCUAGCUGUAAACGAUGGAAACUAGGUGUUG
This 698-nucleotide ribosomal RNA is filed under the name uncultured Chroococcales cyanobacterium. RNAcentral's name for it is "bacterial SSU rRNA". It matches the Rfam family "Bacterial small subunit ribosomal RNA", at positions 94 to 825 of the family's 1533-position model. Lineage: Bacteria; Bacillati; Cyanobacteriota; Cyanophyceae; Chroococcales. The record is from RNAcentral.